AACGCUAGCUACAGGCUUAACACAUGCAAGUCGAGGGGCAGCAUUGGAGUAGCAAUACUUCAGAUGGCGACCGGCGCACGGGUGAGUAACACGUAUCCAACCUGCCGCUUACUCGGGGAUAGCCUUUCGAAAGAAAGAUUAAUACCCGAUGGUAUAAAGAGUUCGCAUGUUCUCUUUAUUAAAGAAUUUCGGUAAGCGAUGGGGAUGCGUUCCAUUAGAUAGUUGGCGGGGUAACGGCCCACCAAGUCUACGAUGGAUAGGGGUUCUGAGAGGAGGGUCCCCCACAUUGGAACUGAGACACGGUCCAAACUCCUACGGGAGGCAGCAGUGAGGAAUAUUGGUCAAUGGACGAGAGUCUGAACCAGCCAAGUAGCGUGAAGGAUGACUGCCCUAUGGGUUGUAAACUUCUUUUAUAAGGGAAUAAAGUGAGGGACGUGUCCCUUUUUGUAUGUACCUUAUGAAUAAGGAUCGGCUAACUCCGUGCCAGCAGCCGCGGUAAUACGGAGGAUCCAAGCGUUAUCCGGAUUUAUUGGGUUUAAAGGGAGCGUAGGUUGACAUAUAAGUCAGCUGUGAAAGUUUACGGCUCAACCGUGAAAUUGCAGUUGAUACUGUAUGUCUUGAGUGUACAAGAGGUGGGCGGAAUUCGUGGUGUAGCGGUGAAAUGCUUAGAUAUCACGAAGAACUCCGAUUG
This 691-nucleotide ribosomal RNA is filed under the name uncultured bacterium. RNAcentral's name for it is "bacterial SSU rRNA". It matches the Rfam family "Bacterial small subunit ribosomal RNA", at positions 32 to 715 of the family's 1533-position model. The record is from RNAcentral.